UGCAAGUUGGAUCACCCUGAGCUAACCAGCUAGCUUAACCACUAAUAUAAUUCAACGAUAUCCAUAACAGAACAAGACCUGACACCACGAACUAAACCAUUUUUUUACCUGAGUAUGGGAGACAGAAAAGGUUCAACCCAAAGCGAUAGAGAAAGUACCGCAAGGAAAGCUGAAAGAGAAAUGAAACAACCCAUAUAAGCACUGGAAAACAAAGGCUAGACCUUGUACCUUUUGCAUCAUGAUUUAGCCAGUACCCUCAAGCGAAGAGACCUUUAGUUUGAUACCCCGAAACCAGGUGAGCUACCCCGAGACAGCCUAUGUUAAUUUAGGGCUAACCCGUCUCUGUGGCAAAAGAGUGGGAAGAGCUCCGGGUAGAAGUGACAGACCUACCGAACCUGGUGAUAGCUGGUUGCCUGAGAUAUGGAUAGAAGUUCAGCCUCGCACACCCCAAAUCAAGGAACAUAUCAUCAAGAUACUAUGGGAAAAAUACGAGAGUUAGUUGAAGGGGGUACAGCCCCUUUAACAAAGGAUACAACCUUCACAGGAGGAUAAAGAGCAUAAUACAUAAGACACCCUGUUCUAGUGGGCCUGAAAGCAGCCACCUAAGCAGAAAGCGUUAAAGCUCAGACAGAAAGAAAUUUAUUAUACCGUUAAAAAAUCUUACUCCCCUAAAUUUAUCAGGCCGACCCAUGCCCACAUGGGUGAGACUAUGCUAAAAUGAGUAACAAGAAGACCAGAUCUUCUCCCGUCACAAGUGUAGGCCAGAUCGGACUAACCACUGGAAUUUAACGAGCCCAACCCAAGAGGGCAGUGUGAAUAAUAAAAACCGCAAGAAGAACUCACAACUGGUCAAUCGUUAACCCCACACUGGAGUGCCAUUUAUGGGAAAGACUAAAAGAAGGGGAAGGAACUCGGCAAACACAAGCCUCGCCUGUUUACCAAAAACAUCGCCUCCUGCAACCAGACUGAGUAUAGGAGGUCCAGCCUGCCCAGUGACUACGGGUUCAACGGCCGCGGUAUUUUGACCGUGCAAAGGUAGCGCAAUCACUUGUCUCUUAAAUGGAGACCUGUAUGAAUGGCUAGACGAGGGCUUAACUGUCUCCCCCUUCCAGUCAGUGAAAUUGAUCUAUCCGUGCAGAAGCGGGUAUAAUAGUACAAGACGAGAAGACCCUUUGGAGCUUAAGGUACAAGCUUCAGCCACGUUAAACAACUCUAUAGAAAGCAAGAACUUAGUGGCCAUGAAAUUUUACCUUCGGUUGGGGCGACCGCGGAGGAAAACUAAGCCUCCGAGUGGACUGGGUCAAAACCCCUAAAGCCAAGAGGAACAUCUUUAGGCCGCAGAACAUCUGACCAAUAGUGAUCCGGCUGAGAAGCCGAUCAGCGUUCCAAGUUACCCUAGGGAUAACAGCGCAAUCCUCUCCCAGAGCCCAUAUCGACGAGGGGGUUUACGACCUCGAUGUUGGAUCAGGACAUCCUAAUGGUGCAGCAGCUAUUAAGGGUUCGUUUGUUCAACGAUUAAAGUCCUACGUGAUCUGAGUUCAGACCGGAGCAAUCCAGGUCAGUUUCUAUCUGUAACGCUACUUUUCCUAGUACGAAAGGAUCGGAAAAAGGGGGCCUAUGCUUAGGGCAUGCCCCGCCCCUAAUUGAUGAAAACAGAUAAAUUAAGUAAAGGGAGGGCCAAGCCCUGCCGCCCGAGAUAAGGGCA
Molecule: ribosomal RNA, 1705 nt
Filed under: Oregonichthys kalawatseti
Lineage: Eukaryota; Metazoa; Chordata; Actinopteri; Cypriniformes; Leuciscidae
Description: partial 16S ribosomal RNA
Rfam family: Bacterial large subunit ribosomal RNA
Source: RNAcentral